Long non-coding RNA from Hibiscus syriacus, 156 nucleotides. RefSeq lists it as uncharacterized. Lineage: Eukaryota; Viridiplantae; Streptophyta; Magnoliopsida; Malvales; Malvaceae. The record is from RefSeq and is a predicted model, not a curated record. The transcript has 3 exons.
UGAAGAAAUUAAAAGAAAUCUUCAGCUCAUAAAUGUUGAAGAGGAAAACAAUGCUUGUUAUGCCAACCCUCGAUUCAAGGAAAUUCAUAUAUUGGGUCAGAGAUAUUCUAAUAACAUCUAUGGAACAAAGCAGCUUUUGGUAGCAAGAACAGUACA